GACGAACGCUGGCGGCGUGCCUAAUACAUGCAAGUCGAACGCUGAAGGAGGAGCUUGCUUCUCUGGAUGAGUUGUGAACGGGUGAGUAACGCGUAGGUAACCUGCCUGGUAGCGGGGGAUAACUAUUGGAAACGAUAGCUAAUACCGCAUAAUAGCAGUUGUUGCAUGACAACUGUUUGAAAGGUGCAAUUGCACCACUACCAGAUGGACCUGCGUUGUAUUAGCUAGUUGGUGGGGUAACGGCUCACCAAGGCGACGAUACAUAGCCGACCUGAGAGGGUGAUCGGCCACACUGGGACUGAGACACGGCCCAGACUCCUACGGGAGGCAGCAGUAGGGAAUCUUCGGCAAUGGACGGAAGUCUGACCGAGCAACGCCGCGUGAGUGAAGAAGGUUUUCGGAUCGUAAAGCUCUGUUGUAAGAGAAGAACGAGUGUGAGAGUGGAAAGUUCACACUGUGACGGUAUCUUACCAGAAAGGGACGGCUAACUACGUG
RNAcentral lists this ribosomal RNA (495 nucleotides) under uncultured bacterium. RNAcentral describes it as "partial 16S ribosomal RNA". It matches the Rfam family "Bacterial small subunit ribosomal RNA", at positions 28 to 507 of the family's 1533-position model. The record is from RNAcentral.